Molecule: ribosomal RNA, 400 nt
Filed under: uncultured bacterium
Lineage: Bacteria
Description: bacterial SSU rRNA
Rfam family: Bacterial small subunit ribosomal RNA
Source: RNAcentral
UGGGGAAUUUUGGACAAUGGGGGGAACCCUGAUCCAGCAACGCCGCGUGAAUGAAGAAGGCCUUCGGGUUGUAAAGUUCUUUUGUCGCAGAGCAAAGGUUGAUGGCGAAAAGCAGUCAACGCUGAGAGUAUGCGAAGAAUAAGCACCGGCUAACUACGUGCCAGCAGCCGCGGUAAUACGUAGGGUGCGAGCGUUAAUCGGAAUUACUGGGCGUAAAGGGUGCGCAGGCGGAUGGUUAAGUUAGAAGUGAAAUCCCCGGGCUCAACCUGGGAAUGGCUUUUAAGACUGGCGAUCUAGAGUUUGUCAGAGGGGGGUGGAAUUCCAAGUGUAGCAGUGAAAUGCGUAGAGAUUUGGAGGAACACCGAUGGCGAAGGCAGCCCCCUGGGAUAAAACUGACGCU